Molecule: ribosomal RNA, 604 nt
Filed under: Campsicnemus bennetti
Lineage: Eukaryota; Metazoa; Arthropoda; Insecta; Diptera; Dolichopodidae
Description: partial 12S ribosomal RNA
Source: RNAcentral
UUGGCUAAAUUUGUGCCAGCAGCUGCGGUUAAACAAAAAAUACAAAUAAAUUUUAUAAAUUUAUGAGUUAAAUUGAAUUUAUUAAAUUAAUAAAAAAAAUUUAGGUGAAAUUUCAUUUUUUUUUAAUUUAUAUAAAAAGUUAUAUUGAAUCUUGAAAAUUUUAUUUUUAAACUAGGAUUAGAUACCCUAUUAUUUAAUUAUUUAUAAAUAUAAAGAUUAAAGUAGUAAUAGUUAUGAUCUUGAAACUUAAAAAAUUUGGCGGUAUUUUAGUCUAUUCAGAGGAACCUGUAUUAUAAUCGAUAAUCCACGAUGGAUCUUACUUAAUUUUGUAAUUUUAUUUGUAUAUCGCCGUUAUUUGAAAAUUUUAUAAGAGAAAUAAUUUUCUAAAAUUUUUAUUAAAAAAUAAAUCAGGUCAAGGUGCAGUUUAUAGUUAAGUUUUAUAUGGGUUACAAUAAAAUUAUUUAUAUGGAUUAAAAAAUGAAAUAUUUUUAAGAAGGUGGAUUUGAUAGUAAAUUUUUAUAGAUAAAAGAAUUGAUUUUAGCUCUAAAAUAUGUACACAUCGCCCGUCACUCUUGUUAAUAAUAUAAGAUAAGUCGUAACAUAG